Molecule: long non-coding RNA, 2083 nt
Organism: Engraulis encrasicolus (European anchovy)
Lineage: Eukaryota; Metazoa; Chordata; Actinopteri; Clupeiformes; Engraulidae
Exons: 3
Source: RefSeq, a predicted model, not a curated record
CACAACAAGGUGAGUAGGAGAGUGCUGGUUGUUCAACCCUGGCCACCACCCACCUGCAGGCCUUGGGAAUUGAACCUGCAGUGAACCUACUACAGGCCCAGCUCAACAAUCUAUCUAGCCUUGUGUUUCUCAACAGGGGCUCUAUAGUGCCUCCUCCCUUAUUGGGGAGGCCAGUAAAAAGACUGUUACCGUAAUCAACCUUACUAGAAAUGAAGGCAUGUAUUAGCUUCUCCAGAUAAUGUUUAGACAUCAGCCCCCUAAAUUUAGAGACGUUUUUUAUGUGAUAAAAUGCAGACACCUAAGCUUACAAUAUAUUGGUUCUUGAGUCAUUUCAGAGAUAAUCGGAUUUAUAGGAUGAAAUGAGUUGUAGUAAAGUAGUAAUUAAUAGGGAUGCACGAUGUAUCGGCCUUAACAUCGAUAUCGGCCGAUAUUUGACAGUUCUCAACACGAGUAAAACUGGGCCGAUGUUAACGCCGAUGUUUUUUAAGCUUAUACGUUGUGAUUCUUAAUCUUAUUGGUUCUGAUAUGUUUUUCAACAUUUUAAAAGAUUGGACUUGACAGUGACUUUCAUUGUUUGUCUUCUAGUUUGUCUCUAUUUUUAUCCAAUUUUAUCACAAGCAGUUAAAAGGUGUUUUUGGAAAUAAAAGAGGGCAUUCAAAAAUUCAGUUUGCAUCAUUGUCAGUCUGUAUUAAAUGUUAUCAUCUGUAUCGGUUAAUAUCGGUUAUCAGUGAAAACCGCAAUAUCAAUAUCGGCCCAAAUUUUUCACAUUGUGCAUCCCUAGUAAUUAAGUAGUGUUGAGGAGAUUACUCCACCUGACAUGAGCACUCCAUUUAACAUAGAAUUUAGAAACAUUAGAAAAGUAAUAAUUUCAUAUUCUUUGUAUGACCAGUGCAUGUAAAGAAAUUGACAAUAAAGCCCACUUGACUUGACACACACUGCACAAUAGCAUGGGUGGUGUGUCAGUUGGGGUAAUGUCAGCUGGCGUGAGUUACUCUAGAAUACUGCUCUAAUAUUAUUUUACUACAAAUCGUUGAAAGACUUAAGUCACAUUAUCUUUGCAAUGACUCAAUAACCAAAGCCAACACUCUCUGAAGAACAUGUGCGUGCGGACGGAGUAACGUAGGGCUUCUCUAGGCCCAAAUCACUCAAAGAAAUCGCAGGCAGUGCAUGAGAUUUAACAAAGGACUGAACAGUGCAUUCGGGUGGAAAACAACAAUACAAGACCGUUCAUGAACACUGGCUUCAGCGUGCCCACAGAACAACAUUUUGGUUAAAUUAGUUUUAGACGGUAAAGAAACGUUAUACCGACAUCCACACCCACACCUGUAUGCAGACCAUUCAAGAAGAAAGUAGAACUACUCGAGCGGGAAAAUAGCGCCGUCCUAGCUACUCAACAGAAACGGCAUAAUUAAUCUGGGAGUUGGACACACUGUGAAGAAAUGUCUGAUGUACAGCCUGGCUUUCCAGACAGCGGUUAAUCUGACCAACGAAGACAACACGAGGGCAUUCUGCUUCUUGAUCAGAGGAGCAUUCGGGGCGAAAUGGAAACAAAGCCAUCCUUCAUCCCAUCACGGAGGAGCACAUGCCCCAGAAUUCCUGCCAAGCCACCGCCCCUGAACCUGAUGAGCACAGCCACCGGAUUCUGGUGCUGCACAGGUAAUCUCCGCAGGCACUCCAGGUGAAUAUGGAUUAACAGCAAAUCACCAAGUUGCAGUAGGCGCUUCCAGCUGACACUAUAACUUUGUUAAAAACAGAGAGCACUGGCUGAAAAUGGCCAUUUUGUGUUGGGUGUCUGUGCAUUUUUUUCCCUCAACAACUUACAUGUUGAACUCAACCAGUAUUUUUGCUGUUUCAUGUCAUCACAUUUUAACCUGGUGAUUUAUUACAGUUUAUUACAGUUAUGACAAUUAACGACAAUUUAUUACAAUAUUUAUGUACAAGAAAAAUGAUGUAUAAUACAUCUAUAAUAAAAAUACAACAUUUAUCAACAAUAAUGUAUGCAUGUACAGUAAUAUCAUAGGCCAACAAAAAAUCAAUGCAUUUCAAAAAGGUUUUGCGACUACUCUGUGUUACAAUAAUACAA